UACGUAGGGUCCGAGCGUUGUCCGGAAUUACUGGGCGUAAAGAGCUCGUAGGUGGUUUGUCGCGUUGUUCGUGAAAACUCACAGCUCAACUGUGGGCGUGCGGGCGAUACGGGCAGACUGGAGUACUGCAGGGGAGACUGGAAUUCCUGGUGUAGCGGUGGAAUGCGCAGAUAUCAGGAGGAAUACCGGUGGCGAAAGCGACUCUCUGGACGGCAACUGACGCUGAGGCACGAAAGCGUGGGGAGCAAACAGG
Molecule: ribosomal RNA, 253 nt
Filed under: uncultured bacterium
Lineage: Bacteria
Description: partial 16S ribosomal RNA
Rfam family: Bacterial small subunit ribosomal RNA
Source: RNAcentral